GGGCCCGCACAAGCGGUGGAGUAUGUGGUUUAAUUCGAUGCAACGCGAAGAACCUUACCAGGGUUUGACAUCCUGCGAAUCUCUUGGAAACGAGAGAGUGCCUUCGGGAGCGCAGUGACAGGUGGUGCAUGGCUGUCGUCAGCUCGUGUCGUGAGAUGUUGGGUUAAGUCCCGCAACGAGCGCAACCCCCAUUUCUAGUUGCCAGCGGUUCGGCCGGGGACUCUAGAGAAACUGCCAGCGUAAGCUGUGAGGAAGGUGGGGAUGACGUCAAAUCAUCACGGCCCUUACGACCAGGGCUACACACGUGCUACAAUGGUAGGUACAGAGGGCAGCUACACAGCGAUGUGAUGCGAAUCUCAAAAGCCUAUCGUAGUCCAGAUUGGAGUCUGCAACUCGACUCCAUGAAGUAGGAAUCGCUAGUAAUCG
This 426-nucleotide ribosomal RNA is filed under the name uncultured bacterium. RNAcentral's name for it is "bacterial SSU rRNA". It matches the Rfam family "Bacterial small subunit ribosomal RNA", at positions 917 to 1344 of the family's 1533-position model. The record is from RNAcentral.